UAACUUGUCUAAUCUCAGAUCGAUGACCAUCGAUAUAUUAGAAUUACCGAUCGAUGCUCAUUCGGACUUUCACAAUUACUGACAUACGAUCGAUGUACUUUAUUCAUCAAUAUAUAGUCGGCUUACCAAAAACUGCCAGCGCAAAAAGCGCAUAAUAGUCAGAACAUGAUCAGUGGAGGAUAUAACCAUCCAUCCCACGAUUACAUA
This 207-nucleotide long non-coding RNA is filed under the name Elaeis guineensis (African oil palm). RNAcentral describes it as "long non-coding RNA (EGUI_LNC008533)". The record is from RNAcentral. Lineage: Eukaryota; Viridiplantae; Streptophyta; Magnoliopsida; Arecales; Arecaceae.